This 251-nucleotide long non-coding RNA is filed under the name Zostera marina. RNAcentral describes it as "long non-coding RNA (ZMAR_LNC001644)". The record is from RNAcentral. Lineage: Eukaryota; Viridiplantae; Streptophyta; Magnoliopsida; Alismatales; Zosteraceae.
UUAUAUAUUCUUUAUGUUCUUAAAAAUGGAUUUAUAUUUUAUCCGAAUAUGAAUUUAUUCAAUAUCGAGAAAGUUAAUUAAAUAAAUUGCAUCGUUUAACGUGUUACUCGGCUUUUGGUUAAUAAUAAAAUAUUUAAUUACGAACAAAAUCAACCCUUAAUGCUUAUUGAUUAAUCAAGAUAGAUCGUUGAAAAUAAUCUUUAUUUCCUCUUUAUAUUAUUCUAAAUGGAUUUAAAAGUAAUUAUAAAAUC